CCUACGGGAGGCAGCAGUGAGGAAUAUUGGUCAAUGGACGAGAGUCUGAACCAGCCAAGUAGCGUGAAGGAUGACUGCCCUAUGGGUUGUAAACUUCUUUUAUAUGGGAAUAAAAUGUUCCACGUGUGGGAUUUUGUAUGUACCAUAUGAAUAAGCAUCGGCUAACUCCGUGCCAGCAGCCGCGGUAAUACGGAGGAUCCGCGCGUUAUCCGGAUUUAUUGGGUUUAAAGGGAGCGUAGGUGGAUUGUUAAGUCAGUUGUGAAAGUUGGCGGCUCAACCGUAACAUUGCAGUUGAAACUGGCAGUCUUGAGUACAGUAGAGGUGGGCGGAAUUCGUGGUGUAGCGGUGAAAUGCUUAGAUAUCACGAAGAACUCCGAUUGCGAAGGCAGUUCACUGGACUGCAACUGACACUGAGGCUCGAAAGUGUGGGUAUCAAACAGGAUUAGAUACCCUUGUAGUC
RNAcentral lists this ribosomal RNA (460 nucleotides) under uncultured bacterium. RNAcentral's name for it is "partial 16S ribosomal RNA". It matches the Rfam family "Bacterial small subunit ribosomal RNA", at positions 338 to 795 of the family's 1533-position model. The record is from RNAcentral.